Long non-coding RNA from Phacochoerus africanus (Common warthog), 224 nucleotides. RefSeq lists it as uncharacterized. Lineage: Eukaryota; Metazoa; Chordata; Mammalia; Artiodactyla; Suidae. The record is from RefSeq and is a predicted model, not a curated record. The transcript is spliced from 3 exons.
CGGGCUGACCUCUCCAAGAAGGUGAGACUUCUCUGGAGCCUACUUUGCUCUGAGAACAGAAGGAGGAAGAGGAGAAAAAUGGUUCUUUCAUUUCUAAAGGUGACACAGGAGUCAGUGAGAUUUAGAGAUGUGGUUGUGGUCUUUUCUUCAAGCCAGUGGGUUCACUUGAGCCUUCAAGAGAGAGAAUUGUAUAGGGAUGUGAUGCUGGAUACCUGCGACUACAU